Homo sapiens (human) is the source of this 1304-nucleotide long non-coding RNA. Ensembl annotates it as SLC7A14 antisense RNA 1. Its record names the gene SLC7A14-AS1. NCBI's taxonomy places the organism in Eukaryota, Metazoa, Chordata, Mammalia, Primates, Hominidae. The record is from Ensembl.
CUCCUCCACUGAGAAGGGGUCAUCCACGUCGUAGCGUUGAUAAGUAAACUGAGGCCCAAAGAAGUUAAGUAAAUUUCCCAAAGUCACAAGACAAAGGAGGGGCAGAGCUGUGAUUUGAAGUUGGUGCUGUUUGACUCCAAAGGCUGUCAGCUUCUUUGGGCAAAGACUGAGUCAUCUCUGCAUUCUCAGCACCUGGUGCAAUUUAAGCAGAAAUAUCUUGAAGAUUUUUCGUAUCUUCAGGGAGAUUAGGAAUGGGAAUGGAAUGGGAACGCCAAUGCAGGAAGGAUGAGAAGUCUGCAGAUGCCUCCAAGGAGUCCGAAACCAAGUCCGAAGUCAACGACAAGCAAUGAUGGCGAUGGCGAUCCUAGUUAAUAAAAAGGGGGGAGAUGUGGGCUGCAAGCCACCCAGGUGCCGAGGCAAGAGACCGAGGACAUGAGCUGUUCCAGUAUAAUAAAAUAUAAAACAAGAAUAGUUAUACCAGAUAUAGAUCUUAGAUAUGAUUAUAUAUGAAUAUAAUUAAUCAUUAGUUUGUGGCAAUUACUCUUUAUUCCAAUAUUAUAAUAAUCCUCGCUCUAUAAUCAUAACCUAGGAAAAACCAGGCCAUACAGAGAUAGGAGCUGAGGGGACAUAGUGAGGAGUGACCAGAAGACAAGAGUGCGAGCCUUCUGUUAUGCCCAGACAGGGCCACCAGAAGGGCUCCUUGGUCUAGCGGUGACGCCAGUGUCUGGGAAGAUGCCCGUUGCCAGGCGGACCGAGGUCUAGCGGUAGCGUAAGUGUCAAGGGAAAACACCUGCUACUUAGCAGACCGGGAAAGGGAGUCUCCCUUUCCCCGGGGGAGUUUAGAAAAGACUCUGCUCCUCCACCUCUUGUGGAGGGCCUGACAUCAGUCAGGCUCGCCCACAGUUAUCCAGAGGCCUAACCGUCUCCCUGUGAUGCUGUGCUUCAGUGGUCACGCUCCUAGUCCGCCUUCAUGUUCCAUCCUGUUCACCUGGCUCUGCCUUCUAGAUAGCAGUAGCAAAUUAGUGAAAGUACUAAAAGUCUCUGAUAUGCAUAAAUAACGGCGUAAGCUGUCUUUCUCUUUGUCUCCUCUCUCUCUCUGCCUCAGCUGCCAGGCAGGGAAGGGCCCCCUGUCCAGUGGACACGUGACCCACGUGACCUUACCUAUCGUUGGAGAUCACUCACACUCUUUACCCUGCCCCUUUUGCUUUGUAUCCAAUAAAUAGCGCAGCCUGGCAUUCGGGGCCACUACCGGUCUCUGCGCAUUGGUGGUAGUGGUCUCCCGGGCCCAGCUGUCUUUUCUUUUA